GACAGAGGGUGCAAACGUUGUUCGGAAUUACUGGGCGUAAAGCGAGUGUAGGCGGUUUGGAAAGUCGGAUGUGAAAGCCCCCGGGCUCAACCCGGGAAGUGCACUCGAUACUCCCAGCUAGAGUAUCGGAGAGGUUGGCGGAAUUCUCGGUGUAGAGGUGAAAUUCGUAGAUAUCGAGAGGAACACCGGCGGCGAAGGCGGCCAACUGGACGAAUACUGACGCUGAGACUCGAAAGCGUGGGGAGCAAACAGG
This 253-nucleotide ribosomal RNA is filed under the name uncultured bacterium. RNAcentral's name for it is "partial 16S ribosomal RNA". It matches the Rfam family "Bacterial small subunit ribosomal RNA", at positions 524 to 776 of the family's 1533-position model. The record is from RNAcentral.